This 498-nucleotide ribosomal RNA is filed under the name uncultured bacterium. RNAcentral's name for it is "partial 16S ribosomal RNA". It matches the Rfam family "Bacterial small subunit ribosomal RNA", at positions 28 to 507 of the family's 1533-position model. The record is from RNAcentral.
GACGAACGCUGGCGGCGUGCCUAAUACAUGCAAGUCGAACGAGAGCGACCGGUGCUUGCACUGGUCAAUCUAGUGGCGAACGGGUGAGUAACACGUGGGUAACCUGCCCAUCAAAGGGGGAUAACAUCCGGAAACGGAUGCUAAAACCGCAUAGGUCUUCGAACCGCAUGGUUUGAAGAGGAAAAGAGGCGCAAGCUUCUGCUGAUGGAUGGACCCGCGGUGCAUUAGCUAGUUGGUGAGGUAACGGCUCACCAAGGCCGUGAUGCAUAGCCGACCUGAGAGGGUGAUCGGCCACAUUGGGACUGAGACACGGCCCAAACUCCUACGGGAGGCAGCAGUAGGGAAUCUUCCGCAAAGGACGCAAGUCUGACGGAGCAACGCCGCGUGAGUGAAGAAGGUUUUCGGAUCGUAAAACUCUGUUGUUAGAGAAGAACAAGUGCUAGAGUAACUGUUAGCGCCUUGACGGUAUCUAACCAGAAAGCCACGGCUAACUACGUG